GAAUCCCUUCUGGAACCUAAACAAACCCAAACAAAACCAUCUUUUCUGAAUAUGACAGCAUGUGUUGGCAUUAGGUGGCCAUUGUUUGAGCAUUUUGGUCCAAUUUUGGGGGGUUUUGAAGUCUGGGUGUACAUGCCCUCUUCAAGAACAGCUUCUCCAAAAAAUGAAUUGUUGGGAAUAUGUAAGUUUUGAUGUUAAAUUAAACUAACUACGCAUCUUCUCACGAAGAAGAAGAUCAAGAGCAACCUACAAAACCCACAGCUUUGCCCUCAAAACCCAGUUCUUCCUCUUCCUCUUUGUUUUCUUUUCUACCCAAAUCCAAACCCCAAUUUCGUCUCUCUUCGAAUUCCUUUUGCAACCUAAACAAACCCAUACAAAACUAUCUUUUAUGAAUAUGACAGCAUGUGUUGGCAUUAGGUGGCCAUUGUUUGAGCAUUUUGGUCCAAUUUUGGGGGGUUUUGAAGUCUGGGUGUACAUGCCCUCUUCAAGAACAGCUUCUCCAAAAAAUGAAUUGUUGGGAAUAUGUAAGUUUUGAUGUUAAAUUAAACUAACUACGCAUCUUCUCACGAAGAAGAAGAUCAAGAGCAACCUACAAAACCCACAGCUUUGCCCUCAAAACCCAGUUCUUCCUCUUCCUCUUUGUUUUCUUUUCUACCCAAAUCCAAACCCCAAUUUCGUCUCUCUUCGAAUUCCUUUUGCAACCUAAACAAACCCAUACAAAACUAUCUUUUAUGAAUAUGACAGCAUGUGUUGGCAUUAGGUGGCCAUUGUUUGAGCAUUUUGGUCCAAUUUUGGGGGGUUUUGAAGUCUGGGUUUACAUGCCCUCUUCAAGAACAGCAAUCGUAUUGUGAUUUUAUUGCGGUUGUAUUGUAGUCGUAUUGCUUUUGUAUUGCCAUGGUAUUGUUGUUAUAUUGAUUUUUUUGGUGUUUUAUUGAUAUGUUACUG
RNAcentral lists this long non-coding RNA (945 nucleotides) under Prunus persica (peach). Its description in RNAcentral is "long non-coding RNA (PPER_LNC001722)". Lineage: Eukaryota; Viridiplantae; Streptophyta; Magnoliopsida; Rosales; Rosaceae. The record is from RNAcentral.